RNAcentral lists this long non-coding RNA (1183 nucleotides) under Dromaius novaehollandiae (emu). Its description in RNAcentral is "lncRNA (ENSDNVG00000013597.1)". The record is from RNAcentral. Lineage: Eukaryota; Metazoa; Chordata; Aves; Casuariiformes; Dromaiidae.
CGCUUUGCGUAAUUUAUGCCACUGUUGGAGAUUAGCAAAAUGUUGUUGGCUCAUAACAUUUGAAAGAGCAACGCAAAGUUUACUUCUUCUAAUUAUUUUCUAUUUUUUCCUGUGUUGAAAAGCGUAUUAAAAGAAGUAAACGUCCUGCCCUGCUCUAAUCAUAAAUACAAAUACAAAGGUUGUUAGGAAUUGGUCAGCUAUAGAUAGGGAAAUCAGAUACUGUGCUUCUUUUUCUUUUUGGUAAUUCUGCAGGAGCUGCUGCCACACAGACAGCAUUAACCCUUUACGCUCUGUGCUUACAAACGCAGCUGGGAGGGCACGCUGGAAUUCACAAUUUUCGUCUUCCUCAGCAUCACUCAACAACACAGCGUCUGCAGUGCUUUCUGAACUACCAUGGCUUCUCUCUCAGCAGCAGACAAAAGAAAAGUCCUCAAGACACUUUGCUGUCUCAGGUGAAAAACGCUGUGGGAAAGAAAAUACGUGGAAGAGGAGAGCAUCCCUGAUCCAAGAACGUCCUUGCCAUGCGUUGCAAGACUGCGUGUUGUGAAGCACAUUACUCCCGCGAUGCUAGUACAAGUGCAGCUCUAAACACAGUGUCAACCUUUUAGAAAGGCAAAAAAGGUAAAGUAGUAGUAUAAAUAAUAGAGCUAACAAAAAAAAAACCCUAAGAAGUGGGGACAGCGCAGAAAGUUCCAGCAGGGAAAUGAAUGCCACAACGCAGCCGGCGGUCUGAUCAAAGUUAUUAACCACUGAGUUGAGAAAAUUAAGCGGUCAGUGCCAGACUGGCACUUUUGUCAUACCCUGCCUGGGUUUUCUAGGUUAUUCGCACACGGUCUAUGCCACGGCGCUGCGGAUUCCCAGCGUCGCUCCCAUCUGUAUCCAGCCGCUCAGCCCAGCGUGUUCAGUCCCGACGGAGCAAGCUGGCCAAUGCCACAGCGUUGACGAGGAUUUUCCCAGAAGCGGGAACUGCCAGCGCUCCAUGAAAGUCUGAAUUUUCACAGAUUUUAAUGUGGUGGAAAGAAAACAACGCGUGUGGGUGUUGCUCGCCCAGGGCAGCUCUGGCCUGGCCGUGUUCUUGCACUUUUUCAGGGCUUGGUGAAUUACCGUGAGCGAGCUUGGAGCUGACAAACCGCAGAUCAYUGCGGCACCCGAAAAAGAAAAAAAUCCAGCUUUUCUGACCAAG